This 445-nucleotide ribosomal RNA is filed under the name uncultured bacterium. RNAcentral describes it as "bacterial SSU rRNA". It matches the Rfam family "Bacterial small subunit ribosomal RNA", at positions 330 to 792 of the family's 1533-position model. The record is from RNAcentral.
CCCAGACUCCUACGGGAGGCAGCAGUGGGGAAUAUUGCACAAUGGGGGAAACCCUGAUGCAGCGACGCCGCGUGAGUGAAGAAGUAUUUCGGUAUGUAAAGCUCUAUCAGCAGGGAAGAAAAUGACGGUACCUGACCAAGAAGCCCCGGCUAACUACGUGCCAGCAGCCGCGGUAAUACGUAGGGGGCGAGCGUUAUCCGGAUUCACUGGGUGUAAAGGGAGCGUAGACGGCCAUGCAAGCCAGGGGUGAAAGCCCGGGGCCCAACCCCGGGACUGCCCUUGGAACUGCAUGGCUGGAGUGCGGGAGGGGCAGGCGGAAUUCCUGGUGUAGCGGUGAAAUGCGUAGAUAUCAGGAGGAACACCGGCGGCGAAGGCGGCCUGCUGGACCGCGACUGACGUUGAGGCUCGAAGGCGUGGGGAGCAAACAGGAUUAGAUACCCGGGUA